GGGUCCUUAACUCAGUUGGUAGAGUGCCUGCUUUGCAAGCAGGAUGUCGGGAGUUCGAUUCUCCCAGGAUCCACCA
This 76-nucleotide transfer RNA is filed under the name Leucobacter luti. RNAcentral describes it as "tRNA-Ala". It matches the Rfam family "tRNA". Rfam says of the family: Transfer RNA (tRNA) molecules are approximately 80 nucleotides in length. Their secondary structure includes four short double-helical elements and three loops (D, anti-codon, and T loops). The record is from RNAcentral. Lineage: Bacteria; Bacillati; Actinomycetota; Actinomycetes; Micrococcales; Microbacteriaceae. RNAcentral also lists the same sequence under 11 other names.